This 350-nucleotide long non-coding RNA is filed under the name Salvia miltiorrhiza (redroot sage). Its description in RNAcentral is "long non-coding RNA (SMIL_LNC008570)". Lineage: Eukaryota; Viridiplantae; Streptophyta; Magnoliopsida; Lamiales; Lamiaceae. The record is from RNAcentral.
GGGGCAAUGCUUGUGGAGGAUGUUCGAGCCAAGAGAAGUGUUUUGGUGGAGAGAGCACCCAAGAGUAGAAAAGCUUUCCAAUGGUUAGAGUGAUGUUUCCGACCUCCAUGAGUUUUUGAGGUAUCGUCGAGCUCUAGACGUUAAAUUAAGCACUUGUUGGGAGGUAACCCAACUGUUUUUCUUUGUUUUGUUUUUCGUUCUUUUAGUAUAGUUUUGUUUCGUUUUGUUUCUUUUUGUUUUGUUGUUUUUUUGGGUUUUUAGUGCGGUGUUGAGCUUGUUGCGAGAACUCGCGCUUUGUUCAUACUACCGCAGUGGGUCUUGUGUUUCUCUGCCAGAUUUCUGGAGAUUUU